This is a long non-coding RNA of Bubalus bubalis (water buffalo), 829 nucleotides long. RefSeq lists it as uncharacterized. The transcript has 2 exons. The record is from RefSeq and is a predicted model, not a curated record. NCBI's taxonomy places the organism in Eukaryota, Metazoa, Chordata, Mammalia, Artiodactyla, Bovidae.
AGUCCUACCCAUCUGCUGGUUCCACUUUGCAGCAGGGCUGGGAAAGCGAGGCUCAGCUUCAGUUCCUGGUCAUGCUAGAGAGCAGAGCUCGGGGGCUGGGGAUCUCAGAGCGGAAGCACAGAGUGGAAGCGAGAGCAGGAGGCCAGGCGGGCAUGAGGUGCAUUUACGGCCGGGCGUCGAAGAGGGAAAGAGCCCAGCGCGUGUGUGUGUGUGUGUGUCCACUAGUGUGUGCAUCGGCAUCUGUUCUGUGUCUGCAUCUCUGUAGGUGCAUCUGUGUGUCUGUGUGUGUGUGUAUGUGCUGUGUGUCUGUGUAUGUGUGUGCCUGAGUAGGUGGGUGAGAUGGGCAGGGAAUAAGUGUGGUGGGUGAGGCCGUGUUGAGGGCACAGAUCGAAGAUUUAGCACAAGCCCAGAGGCCACAGGAUCCCACACCAGCAGAUGGCGCUGUAGGUACAAGUUUGAAGGAGACGACGCCUGGAUUGCUCGAGACCUAGAGGGGAAGAUAGCGUUGAAUGCAGGGAUUAAGGGACAUCACACCCCAUCUGCAUGGAGAGCAUGGAGCCUGAGGAAACCUUGAACACACCUAGCAGCUCUGUUUCUCCACGAAGGAGCCUGUGUGCUUUAACGCUGAUUGAAGCGCCUGCACUAAGGGACCUCCUUUGGUUCCCUCCUCACCGGCCCUCCGGACCCAUCACAGGGCUGUGGACGUAAACCAGGACCCAAGAAGCUCUGCAGCCUCUGACAUUUGUUAAUGCUCCUGAGCUUCCCCGAGAAGCCGGCCCGUCCUUUCCUUGCUCCUCUUUUAAGCCAAAUAAAAUUUAACAUUAUUUCA